ACUCGAGCGAAGCGAGAGAACGGUGCCGCAGUGCACGGCCAGAAGUGCGAGUCGAUUUUGCGCGGAGUAAUACUUCCCCCACCACCG
This 87-nucleotide small RNA is filed under the name Klebsiella pneumoniae. Its description in RNAcentral is "partial RtT sRNA". It matches the Rfam family "RtT RNA", at positions 46 to 130 of the family's 130-position model. From Rfam's summary of the family: This family represents a bacterial cis-regulatory element known as RtT RNA. The exact function of RtT is unknown although it is thought that it may be involved in changing the cellular response in relation to amino acid starvation. The record is from RNAcentral. Lineage: Bacteria; Pseudomonadati; Pseudomonadota; Gammaproteobacteria; Enterobacterales; Enterobacteriaceae.